RNAcentral lists this ribosomal RNA (253 nucleotides) under uncultured prokaryote. Its description in RNAcentral is "partial 16S ribosomal RNA". It matches the Rfam family "Bacterial small subunit ribosomal RNA", at positions 524 to 776 of the family's 1533-position model. The record is from RNAcentral.
GACGAACCGUGCAAACGUUAUUCGGAAUCACUGGGCGUAAAGGGUGCGUAGGCGGUCGGGUAAGUCUGACGUGAAAUCUUCAAGCUCAACUUGGAAACUGCGUCCGAUACUAUUCGGCUAGAGGAAUGGAGGGGAGACUGGAAUACUUGGUGUAGCAGUGAAAUGCGUAGAUAUCAAGUGGAACACCAGUGGCGAAGGCGAGUCUCUGGACAUUUCCUGACGCUGAGGCACGAAAGCCAGGGGAGCAAACGGG